CUUGGUCAUUUAGAGGAAGUAAAAGUCGUAACAAGGUCUCCGUAGGUGAACCUGCGGAGGGAUCAUUACAAGAAUCGACAUUACUUUUGUUGGCUGGCGCACCAUGUUCUUGCGUCCAGACACUAUUCUGUGUGAGCACAAAGCUUGCUUUGGCGCCCCUGGCGCCAGAUUUAUGCGGACAUGCUGUUGAAUCUGAAAAAUGCAGAAAUUUAAAACUUUCAACAAAGGAUCUCUUGGCUCUUGCACCGAUGAAGAACGCAGCAAAGCGCGAAAUGUAGUGUGAAUUGCAGAACUUUGUGAAUCAUCGAAUCUUUGAACGCACAUUGCGCCCCUUGUUACAGAGGGGCAUGCCUGUCUGAGUGUCUUUUAAACCAUAGACUUUUGUCUGUUUUGGGCGUCGCGCUUCUGCGUCGCCUCGAAGCCAUUGCUGUCGAACGGACGAGAUCCUUUGGGACGAUGCCGCUAGACUUGAGAAAAACUUCUCUGACGGACCUCAGAUCAGGUAGGACUACCGCCUGAACUUAAGCAUAUCAAUAAGCGGAGGA
This 545-nucleotide ribosomal RNA is filed under the name Ascomycota sp. 7 RB-2011. RNAcentral's name for it is "eukaryotic LSU rRNA". The stretch from base 214 to 365 matches the Rfam family "5.8S ribosomal RNA". Lineage: Eukaryota; Fungi; Ascomycota. The record is from RNAcentral.